GUGAGUCAUCGAAUCUUUGAACGCACAUUGCGCCCAUUGGUAUUCCGAUGGGCAUGCCUGUUCGAGCGUCAUUAUCCUCCCUCAAACCCCUGGGGUUUGGUGUUGGACCAGGAGCGGCGUGCGCCUCCUCCGGUCUCAAAGACAAUGACGGCGUCCGUGGGACCCUCGGUGCAACGAGCUUUUCGAAGCACGCGUCGAGUGUCUUGUCCCUCCGGGCCGGUCCAGCCUUUUUACUUUUACCAGGUUGACCUCGGAUCAGGUAGGAAUACCCGCUGAACUUAAGCAUAUCAAUAAGCGGAGGA
This 302-nucleotide unclassified non-coding RNA is filed under the name Arthrocladium sp. RNAcentral's name for it is "partial contains 5.8S ribosomal RNA, internal transcribed spacer 2, and large subunit ribosomal RNA". The stretch from base 1 to 71 matches the Rfam family "5.8S ribosomal RNA", at positions 84 to 154 of the family's 154-position model. Lineage: Eukaryota; Fungi; Ascomycota; Eurotiomycetes; Chaetothyriales; Trichomeriaceae. The record is from RNAcentral.